UACGUAGGUGGCAAGCGUUGUCCGGAAUUAUUGGGCGUAAAGCGCGCGCAGGCGGUCUUUUUAAGUCUGAUGUGAAAGCCCACGGCUCAACCGUGGAAGGUCAUUGGAAACUGGAAGACUUGAGUGCAGAAGAGAAGAGCGGAAUUCCACGUGUAGCGGUGAAAAUGCGUAGAGAUGUGGAGGAACACCAGUGGCGAAGGCGGCUCUUUUGGUCUGUAACUGACGCUGAGGCGCGAAAAGCGUGGGGAGCAAACAGAUGA
RNAcentral lists this ribosomal RNA (260 nucleotides) under uncultured bacterium. RNAcentral describes it as "partial 16S ribosomal RNA". It matches the Rfam family "Bacterial small subunit ribosomal RNA", at positions 524 to 780 of the family's 1533-position model. The record is from RNAcentral.